AGUAGGAAUGCACAUUCCAAUACCAACACUCCCAAUGAAUUCCCCUGCAAUCUUACUUUAGAAAGAGUUUCUAUGUUAAUAUUUAGAACACCAGACAUUCACAAUGAAAGGACAAGGGAGUUUUCUUUAUUGGUCCUUCGUAGAUUGUUUUAGGUUGAACUAGCUAAUUCCCCUGCUGUAUGCGUAUUUUGGUACAUCCCUUGGAGAGGACGCUUCUAUAAUACUUCGGUGAGAGCGCACACAUCUCCAUCGCUUCAACCUGUAUCCAGCAGUGUCAGAGAUGUACCUCAUUACUGUCAAGGACUGUGGGUAUCAUCACCCUUCAGUAUUCCACUGAUGCCCAGCAUUGCCCUGCAGCCUUUCGGAAUUAUUUCAGUGUUCCAGUCUUGCUUUCCAUGCUCUAGAGAAGUCAGAACCCAUCUCAGACGCAAUAGAGGUGAAAACUAGGAGUGCGGAGUUACUGUGAAUCUCAUGCCAAGGUCCAACCAUUUCAAACGAAACACAGGGAUACUGAUGGGACUGAUAUGGUGCCAUAUCAGAAUCCUCUCUCCCAUCAAUUCAGAAAUGGAGGGAUGUCGCUGAAGGAGUGGCAGACAGCUUUAGGUACUAAUGGUACUCCUGUGUACAAACACACACUGUGGGCAUUUCUCCCUAAAGUUUUUGCCCUCUCCAGAUUUGGACGAUGCCCCAGGACACUCUGCAUUAGAAGAGAUCAGUGAUGAGGAGGCGGUUCGUAUGGACAGCCCAGCUGCCCUGCCUGCUGUAUCCAUCUCCCUCAGACUAUGUCAACAAGUCAGAGACACUCAGCAAGCUUGUACAGCUAGAUAGAUUCAGUCCAUUUAGGGUUUGUAUCUGAUUAGCCAUUAGUUUCCCAUUACUUCCCCAUGUAGUGCAGGGAUGGGCAACUGGCGGCUAUGUCAGCGAACAAGGCCGUAACCGGGGUUUGCGUUUUAGUGAGGUCCAGAAGAGGGGAUGGGGGGUGCAAGGGGAGGUACCUCCUCCCCCAGGACAUUUUUUUAAAGUCAAAGCUCAUUUACUGCUUUUCUAUAGCAUUUAAAUGUGUUUUUUUAUUGUAUCUGGACAGCAAAAACAAGCAAAAAUGAAUCCAUUAUCA
This is a non-coding RNA of Salvelinus sp. IW2-2015, 1114 nucleotides long. Lineage: Eukaryota; Metazoa; Chordata; Actinopteri; Salmoniformes; Salmonidae. The record is from RefSeq and is a predicted model, not a curated record.